UUUUUUAUAAGUUCUCUUUAGUUUCCACCAAGACUUACUUCCCUUAGUGCAUGACGUAAUUUAUGGUGUCGCUGUUGGAUCAUCUGGUAGGCAGCAAGAUACGGCUCUUGAAGAGGACGAAGGACAAAGUGCGGUUAACGAGGAAGCCAACAAUGAAACUGCAAACACAUCUGUGGAUCAGCUCAACAGACAAAGCGAUGUUAGACAAACUGUCAAUCAAAAAACGAUCCUGGAAGAGCAGCUGAACCUGAUUAAGUCUCAACAAGCGUAUACGGCACGGCUUCAGGCGCAACAAGAUGAGCGUCACGAGAAGGAAAUGGAGUUGAUGAUGCUGAAACGCAAGUUGACUUUAUUGAAAAUACAGCAGCUUGAAAACGAGGAUUGAUCAUUUUUUUCCAGGCUUUACUAUCAAAUAUAUUGGAUGCGAUAUUCUUCAGCAAUAAUAGAGACAAAUCACUAAUAAAAUACA
This is a long non-coding RNA of Aedes aegypti (yellow fever mosquito), 469 nucleotides long. RefSeq lists it as uncharacterized. The transcript is spliced from 3 exons. Lineage: Eukaryota; Metazoa; Arthropoda; Insecta; Diptera; Culicidae. The record is from RefSeq and is a predicted model, not a curated record.